UACCUCUAGGGACCAAAUUGGUCAGAGCAGGU
RNAcentral lists this non-coding RNA (32 nucleotides) under Mus musculus (house mouse). Lineage: Eukaryota; Metazoa; Chordata; Mammalia; Rodentia; Muridae. The record is from RNAcentral.